This 762-nucleotide ribosomal RNA is filed under the name uncultured bacterium. Its description in RNAcentral is "bacterial SSU rRNA". It matches the Rfam family "Bacterial small subunit ribosomal RNA", at positions 61 to 833 of the family's 1533-position model. The record is from RNAcentral.
GUCGAACGGAAGCAAUUGGAGUUUACUUUAAUUGCUUUAGUGGCGGACGGGUGAGUAACACGUGAGCAACCUGCCUUUCAGAGGGGGAUAACGUUUGGAAACGAACGCUAAUACCGCAUAAAAUAUCCAGCAGGCAUCUGCAGGAUAUCAAAGGAGUAAUCCGCUGAAAGAUGGGCUCGCGACCGAUUAGCUAGAUGGUGAGGUAACGGCUCACCAUGGCGACGAUCGGUAGCCGGACUGAGAGGUUGACCGGCCACAUUGGGACUGAGACACGGCCCAGACUCCUACGGGAGGCAGCAGUGAGGGAUAUUGGGCAAUGGGGGAAACCCUGACCCAGCGACGCCGCGUGAGGGAAGACGGUCUUCGGAUUGUAAACCUCUGUCUUUGGGGACGAAAAAGGACGGUACCCAAGGAGGAAGCUCCGGCUAACUACGUGCCAGCAGCCGCGGUAAUACGUAGGGAGCGAGCGUUGUCCGGAAUUACUGGGUGUAAAGGGAGCGUAGGCGGGAUUGCAAGUUGGAUGUGAAAACUGCGGGCUCAACCCGGAGCGUGCAUUCAAAACUGCGAUUCUUGAGUGAAGUAGAGGCAAGCGGAAUUCCUAGUGUAGCGGUGAAAUGCGUAGAUAUUAGGAGGAACACCAGUGGCGAAGGCGGCUUGCUGGGCUUUUACUGACGCUGAGGCUCGAAAGUGUGGGGAGCAAACAGGAUUAGAUACCCUGGUAGUCCACACUGUAAACGAUGAUUACUAGGUGUGGGGGCGUCA